Lagopus leucura (white-tailed ptarmigan) is the source of this 185-nucleotide long non-coding RNA. RefSeq lists it as uncharacterized. Lineage: Eukaryota; Metazoa; Chordata; Aves; Galliformes; Phasianidae. The transcript is spliced from 3 exons. The record is from RefSeq and is a predicted model, not a curated record.
UAUCCAGCCAGUAUCUUCAAAUGGGCAGAACUACAAAUAUUCCCAAAAGCAAUUUAGGGGUAUACUGAUGCACGAAGCAAGCUGCAUUAGAAACGAUGGAGCAAUGAGAUCUCCCUCACUGUGGAACCUGCAGUGUUUCAACAGUCAGAAGACGUUUGAACAGGAGGAGGUAUGGUCACAUAUCU